This 252-nucleotide ribosomal RNA is filed under the name uncultured bacterium. RNAcentral's name for it is "partial 16S ribosomal RNA". It matches the Rfam family "Bacterial small subunit ribosomal RNA", at positions 524 to 776 of the family's 1533-position model. The record is from RNAcentral.
UACGAAGGGGGCUAGCGUUGCUCGGAAUCACUGGGCGUAAAGGGUGCGUAGGCGGGUCUUUAAGUCAGGGGUGAAAUCCUGGAGCUCAACUCCAGAACUGCCUUGAUACUGAGGAUCUUGAGUUCGGGAGAGGUGAGUGGAACUGCGAGUGUAGAGGUGAAAUUCGUAGAUAUUCGCAAGAACACCAGUGGCGAAGGCGGCUCACUGGCCCGAUACUGACGCUGAGGCACGAAAGCGUGGGGAGCGAACAGG